UACAACCAGAAUGAAUGAUGAAUUUUCUGUACCAAGAUGAAAAAAUUGAUUUUAAACAGUCUGAUUCCUUCUAUGGACCGGGAAAGAGCUUUUCUUUUGGGUGAGAGAGAGUGGAAGAAGUGGUGGUGAAGGGUAUCCAAUGUGAUUAGAUUGAGCUAUUUGACCAGUUAUUCAUUUGUUUUAAGUUUCUGAUGUCAGGAUUGAGAUCUGAUCGUUUAUCUUCUGUUUUCUUCUGUUCAGAUGGAUGAAUGUGGUGACCUU
RNAcentral lists this unclassified non-coding RNA (261 nucleotides) under Hevea brasiliensis (rubber tree). Lineage: Eukaryota; Viridiplantae; Streptophyta; Magnoliopsida; Malpighiales; Euphorbiaceae. The record is from RNAcentral.